RNAcentral lists this ribosomal RNA (460 nucleotides) under uncultured bacterium. Its description in RNAcentral is "partial 16S ribosomal RNA". It matches the Rfam family "Bacterial small subunit ribosomal RNA", at positions 338 to 795 of the family's 1533-position model. The record is from RNAcentral.
CCUACGGGAGGCAGCAGUGAGGAAUAUUGGUCAAUGGGCGGAAGCCUGAACCAGCAAAGGCGCGUGAGGGAAUAAGGCCCUAAGGGUCGUAAACCUCUUUUGCCGGGGAGCAAGGGCGUGGACGUGUCCCGGCCCGGAGAGUACCCGGAGAAAAAGCAUCGGCUAACUCCGUGCCAGCAGCCGCGGUAAUACGGAGGAUGCGAGCGUUAUCCGGAUUGAUUGGGUUUAAAGGAUGAGUAGGCGGGCUUUUAAGUCAGCGGUAAAAAUUCGGGGCUCAACCCCGUCCAGCCGUUGAAACUGGGGGCCUUGAGUGGGCGAGAAGAGGGCGGAAUGCGUGGUGUAGCGGUGAAAUGCGUAGAUAUCACGCAGAACCCCGAUUGCGAAGGCAGCCUUCCGGCGCCCUACUGACGCUGAGGCACGAAAGUGCGGGGAGCGAACAGGAUUAGAUACCCGAGUAGUC